UUCCCAGCCAACGCACCA
RNAcentral lists this microRNA (18 nucleotides) under Homo sapiens (human). RNAcentral's name for it is "hsa-miR-7977". Lineage: Eukaryota; Metazoa; Chordata; Mammalia; Primates; Hominidae. The record is from miRBase by way of RNAcentral.